This 706-nucleotide ribosomal RNA is filed under the name Bacillus cereus. RNAcentral describes it as "bacterial SSU rRNA". Lineage: Bacteria; Bacillati; Bacillota; Bacilli; Caryophanales; Bacillaceae. The record is from RNAcentral.
CGGCGGACGGGUGAGUAACACGUGGGUAACCUGCCCAUAAGACUGGGAUAACUCCGGGAAACCGGGGCUAAUACCGGAUAACAUUUUGAACUGCAUGGUUCGAAAUUGAAAGGCGGCUUCGGCUGUCACUUAUGGAUGGACCCGCGUCGCAUUAGCUAGUUGGUGAGGUAACGGCUCACCAAGGCAACGAUGCGUAGCCGACCUGAGAGGGUGAUCGGCCACACUGGGACUGAGACACGGCCCAGACUCCUACGGGAGGCAGCAGUAGGGAAUCUUCCGCAAUGGACGAAAGUCUGACGGAGCAACGCCGCGUGAGUGAUGAAGGCUUUCGGGUCGUAAAACUCUGUUGUUAGGGAAGAACAAGUGCUAGUUGAAUAAGCUGGCACCUUGACGGUACCUAACCAGAAAGCCACGGCUAACUACGUGCCAGCAGCCGCGGUAAUACGUAGGUGGCAAGCGUUAUCCGGAAUUAUUGGGCGUAAAGCGCGCGCAGGUGGUUUCUUAAGUCUGAUGUGAAAGCCCACGGCUCAACCGUGGAGGGUCAUUGGAAACUGGGAGACUURAGUGCAGAAGAGGAAAGUGGAAUUCCAUGUGUAGCGGUGAAAUGCGUAGAGAUAUGGAGGAACACCAGUGGCGAAGGCGACUUUCUGGUCUGUAACUGACACUGAGGCGCGAAAGCGUGGGGAGCAAACAGGAUUAGAUACCC